AGUGCAGCAGGGACGGGCUUUUGAGGGCUCUUGCUUUGGGGGGUGACAACCACAACUGUGGGGACAGUGACAGGAGGAGCUCAGGUUUGUUUUCUGUCAUUUUUGUGCGGUGCUGGAUACAGAAGGGAAAAAUGACAAUGUAUAAGACAAUACCUACAUUCAUUCUGUUGUUUACAGGAUGCCUUCAUACCAAUAUGAAUGUUGCUGCAGACACCCCACCACCAGGUAGUUCCUUACCUACUGCCGAAACCACACAAGCUCCUGAAUUGGAAACACCACCACAUGAGAACAAUGCCGUUCCAGAAGAACGGCUGUCAUCUCUGAUAGGUAGGUUGAAAACUUCGGUAUGUAUACUUCU
Molecule: long non-coding RNA, 358 nt
Filed under: Columba livia (rock pigeon)
Lineage: Eukaryota; Metazoa; Chordata; Aves; Columbiformes; Columbidae
Description: partial uncharacterized LOC106146121
Source: RNAcentral